This 229-nucleotide ribosomal RNA is filed under the name uncultured bacterium. Its description in RNAcentral is "partial 16S ribosomal RNA". It matches the Rfam family "Bacterial small subunit ribosomal RNA", at positions 568 to 796 of the family's 1533-position model. The record is from RNAcentral.
CGCGUAGGCGGUUUUUUAAGUCAGAUGUGAAAUCCCGGGGCUUAACCCCGGAAGUGCAUUUGAAACUGAAAGACUUGAGUAUGGGAGAGGGAAGUGGAAUUCCUGGUGUAGAGGUGAAAUUCGUAGAUAUCAGGAGGAACACCGGUGGCGAAGGCGACUUCCUGGACCAAUACUGACGCUGAGGCGCGAAGGCGUGGGGAGCAAACAGGAUUAGAUACCCUGGUAGUCC